CGGGACCUAAGCCGAGGCCGAUAGGCGUAGGCGAUGGACAACAGGUUGAUAUUCCUGUACCAGUUGUUUUUGUUUGAGCAAUGGAGGGACGCAGUAGGCUAAGGAAUGCAUGCGAUUGGAAGUGCAUGUCCAAGCAAUGAGUCUUGAGUAGAGUUAAAUGCUUUACUCUUUAAGGACAAGUUGUGACGGGGAGCGAAAUAAUAGUAGCGAAGUUCCUGAUGUCACACUGCCAAGAAAAGCUUCUAGU
This 247-nucleotide ribosomal RNA is filed under the name Enterococcus faecalis. RNAcentral's name for it is "partial 23S ribosomal RNA". It matches the Rfam family "Bacterial large subunit ribosomal RNA", at positions 1385 to 1626 of the family's 2925-position model. The record is from RNAcentral. Lineage: Bacteria; Bacillati; Bacillota; Bacilli; Lactobacillales; Enterococcaceae.